UCAGCGGUUCGAUCCCGCUCAGCUCCACCAAAUCGAUUGGUGUCGAGACUGACGGCAACGAAGCGUAGCGCAAGGCGCCUCGCCAAUCGUUUGGCGCCUUCGGCGCGUGAGCGACAAGAAUUGUCUUCUGAAGAAAAACAAAGUUUGCAUCGUUUUGACGAUGCCUGUUCUGCAUAUAUCGUGAAGAGAAGAUUGAUCUGGAGGCUUCCAGGUGUUUUGGGUUUUGGCCCAGGGCGUCCGAAGCCGGUUCCAAUGAUGUCGUUGAUGGUCUAGCCGACUGGAAACGAAAGAGGAGCCGGAAGUAGGAAGGAAGCUUGUCCCGAGGCAUUGUUGUUGUUUGAAGGCUUUGGCUUUYAUCUGACCGACGGUGCUGGAUUGGCGUUGCCUGACCGCGCGCCACCGGAUUUGAUCUCGAGAAGCUGGUCUUAAGACAGACUGCAAGCGAGCUGCUCGGCGUAGCUCCAAUAAAGCAGAUCUGUCGAACACGUCGAUGGCAUCAUUAGAAAGCGUGAUUGUAAAAGGUAAUCACGCAUUGUUGGUCUUYGGAUUUGAUUGCGGCAACUGAAAAGUUGUCCGGAUGAUCAGAUUUGGCACCGCCGCGAGAGCGCAAGCCCGAGCGGAUAAGGUUUGCCAAAUCCAACAAAGAUGAUGAGCAUUGGCAAUGAGAACGAUUAAGUGUCGUAAGGGCAUUUGGUGGAUGCCUUGGCAUGCACAGGCGAUGAAGGACGUGAUACGCUGCGAUAAGCCGU
RNAcentral lists this unclassified non-coding RNA (749 nucleotides) under Rhizobium sp. RNAcentral describes it as "partial contains 16S-23S ribosomal RNA intergenic spacer and 23S ribosomal RNA". The record is from RNAcentral. Lineage: Bacteria; Pseudomonadati; Pseudomonadota; Alphaproteobacteria; Hyphomicrobiales; Rhizobiaceae.